Molecule: long non-coding RNA, 2473 nt
Organism: Gavialis gangeticus (Gharial)
Lineage: Eukaryota; Metazoa; Chordata; Crocodylia; Gavialidae
Exons: 2
Source: RefSeq, a predicted model, not a curated record
CUGGGACUGUAACAUUAUUAUAGUCUCAGAAGGACCAGAACACAACUAAUCUGUUUCAGACUGUAGCUAUGCACAGAUCUUCUUCUGUACUGCUGGGGGCAGUAGACUUCACAGUGCAGGGUCAGCAUGUGGGGCCAGUCCGUGGGUGUCAUCCAGCUUGCUGAACCCAGCCUGCGUACCAUGUGAGCCAGUGAGUAGGUCCACAUCAUUUGGCCUGCAAGGUGCCCCACAGGUCCAGAAAUUAAUGGGAGUAGCAAUUAAUGGUGCCACCACUCCCCCAUUGCCAAAUUUCUGGACCCACUGGCCAGAAGAUGCAGCUCCACGAGCCGGGGUUGAGCACUGGUGCCAUAGAGAGAUCAAGACUGCAGUGGCAAAGCUGCCUUGACUGAGAUAAGACUGUUAAAUAAAUUACUAUAUUUCAUAAAACAUAGCUCCCAAUGUCCCCAUAUUGCAUAACAAUCAUAAUAAACAAGCAGAAUUUGGGUAAAAAUGGGGUAGAUUUUAAGAGUCCUCAUCUUUUCCACUUUUGCCUAAAAACAAAAGUAGGGGGAAUUCUAACUUUGGGUCUCAUUUUAGGUAAACCCUUUAAGUUUAAGGCAGUUCAUUUACAGUUCUAGCCUAUCUCUAGAAAAAAAUGUAUUCAGCAUUACUAAGUACAUACUAAUAGAGCUCUUUAUGUAUGUUUCCCAGGAAAGAUUGGGUUUGCCUUUUCCCAGAUAAGCAGUUUUCAUUCUAAAUUAAAAUACACCAAAGCAAUCAGUGUUUGAGUUCUAUAAAAAGUUACAUAUUAAUCUUCAAUGCCUGAGUAGAGACUCAGAAAAAAACUUGUUGCAAACCACAAGUCUGCACGAAACAUUUACUCAAGCAUUGCAAGAGAAGUAUUAGCUGUCCUCCAUUAAGAGGCAUGCACUCCCACAAGCAUCGAAAGAUGUCUUAAUGCCUUUUCUUCAUUUCUACUACUCAUUUCAUCACAAGCAGAAAAGGCAGUUACAAUAUUAUUGUUACACUUGGGAUGCCAGUUGUACAACUGAUGGUUCAACAGCAAAGUUUAGUGCCCUUCUAAGUACUUCAGAAGGAAAAAAAGAGCCCUUCUUGCUUUCUGAAACCUAAUGGAUUGAGGAGCUACAAGAAGGAAUUCCCAUCUAAAUGCAAAUCAAGGCAACCCCAUCUUGAAUGCACCAGUAGUUACAAAUGGUCCGCUUCCAUGAAUGUGGGUCUUCUCCCUCUGCUUUGCCACAUCACUACAUCUUUGUGUGCCCAGCGGUCUUAACAGGAUUGGCGGGGCAUGAAAUAAAUAUUGAUUUACAGUGCUUUAUUUUGGCUACUAAAUAUCCACCUGUUGCAGCUGUUCUGUUAUCCUCAUCUUUGAUAAUAACUACAAUAUUAAUGUAACCUGCUAACUGAUCAGAAAGUUGAGUCAAAUCACACCUGCAAUUACACCUAUGAGUUUCUGUUUAGCUUAAGUGGGGUUGCUUGGUAUACUAACAAGCACUGUGGCCUGGUAUGGAUAACAGAAGCAGCCACCAUCAUCACUGUGUGGCAGCAGGUUCAGCGUCAGGAAGGAGGAAUCUUGAGAUGAAACAAAAGGCAUAUUACUACUCACUUUUUAUUUGAGUUCCCUUAAUGACAAAAUAGGGUUGGGUCUACAUGCAGACACUCAAGAAAGACAAAUCAGCUAUACAUAUGGAUAAUGCACCAGUUUCACACUUUUAGUUGAUUUGCUUUCUCUCUCCUGAGUAUUAUACACAAUGAUUGAUCUUACUCCUAAAGUCAAAAGGAAUUUUGCUACUGAUUUUUAUGGGGAAAAAGGACCUAUUCUUAUUACAGUCUCCUCUGAUCUAACUCUAGCAAUACCAAGCACUUAAAAUUCCACCAAGGGUGAAAUGUCUUUACAGCACUGUACCACUGAACAAACCACAACACUUCCAUUCUGGAUGAGAAAAUUUUGACAAGAGAAAUUUACCUUGGAUUUCAGUGACAGAAGAUAAAACACCUGAAAAAUCUCAUUCCAAAGGAAGUAAAAGGCUGUGGCAUAGAAAAGCACUCCUUAUGCCACCAAUGCACCCCGUAACAAAGGAAGCUGGACUGGGUUUCCAUAACCUCUAUUCACUCACUACAUAUUCAAUCCAGCUACCCUUGUGCAGCUCAGAUAAGAAAAAGCAGAAUUUAGAAUCAAGAAUUUCCUAGUUUUUCAAAUAGGAAUGUUCUGAAUAAGCCUAUUAAGUUAGAGUGUUUUGUGGACGGCAUUUAUUUAAACCUCUGAUUACACACAUAAAAUAACAGGUAGGAUUUUGAAUCAAUAUUAUCAGCAUGAAAGAAAUGAUUACCUAGACACCUUAACAACUUCUAGUUUUGCUGUCCUGUUCUUUUGAACCAGGCUGACCUGCAAUGAUUAUAUAUUUGGGAGGAAAGAGCUGGAAUUUAGCUUGUUAAGAAUAUUGACGUUACAAUAAAGCGCACAAUUCUGCAGAUG